This 398-nucleotide ribosomal RNA is filed under the name uncultured bacterium. RNAcentral describes it as "bacterial SSU rRNA". It matches the Rfam family "Bacterial small subunit ribosomal RNA", at positions 30 to 426 of the family's 1533-position model. The record is from RNAcentral.
AUUGAACGCUGGCGGCAGGCCUAACACAUGCAAGUCGAGCGGUAGAGAGGUGCUUGCAUCUCUUGAGAGCGGCGGACGGGUGAGUAAUGCCUAGGAAUCUGCCUAGUGGUGGGGGGAUAACGUUCGGAAACGGACGCUAAUACCGCAUACGUCCUACGGGAGAAAGCGGGGGGAUCUUCGGACCUCGCGCCAUUAGAUGAGCCUAGGUCGGAUUAGCUAGUUGGUGAGGUAAUGGCUCACCAAGGCGACGAUCCGUAACUGGUCUGAGAGGAUGAUCAGUCACACUGGAACUGAGACACGGUCCAGACUCCUACGGGAGGCAGCAGUGGGGAAUAUUGGACAAUGGGCGAAAGCCUGAUCCAGCCAUGCCGCGUGUGUGAAGAAGGUCUUCGGAUUGU